CUGGUUUCCAUUUUUAAAACGGGUUUGAUGUCGAUGUUAACCUCUUUAAGACUUAUUAUUUUCGUUAUUGUGUCAAGUUCUUGAAGGGAGCCUCAGUCUGGCGAAUAUGCGGAUGAGUUUUCCAUUCGCACACUGGGCGGUGCGCAGUCGAUGAACUGUUUAAAGUUUCUGUGCUUUAAAAGUUUCAUAAAAAAUACAAAGUAAAUGCUGAUAUCCUCAAACCUGAUUCAUAAAAACAGUGAGAUAUUAUUAUGGAAUCAAAAUUACAGGAUAUUCGUGGGAAACCGUUGUCAAAUGUUGAUUGGAGUUCAUUUGUCUGCUUCCGGUGUUGCUGUUUGGCGGAAAUGUCUUGGAAACUACAAGGAUUUUUGGACUAAUCUGAGAGUCAUCGAAUCUUCACAUUGAAACAAAACAGACUGGUAAAGAAAGAACAGGACGGUGCUGUCAAGGAUGGUGGACUGUGUUACACACAAAGUCGGUGAGUUGAAGAUUAUUUCUCCAUAAUCCACGGCCUGUUGAGCAGGACUUUGUCCAAAAACCACUCGACUUUAAUGAAGCGGUGAUUAACCUGUUGGCAUCCCGGAGAAGUCCUCUGUGUGAGAUUAUUUUUAAAUAAUGUAGGACAUAAAGUUGUUGUCUGUUUGACUGCCUGAAACUAUGUAGCACACCCUGAUGUCAGUUAGCAUUGCAAUAGGGGAGAGUGGGGUAAGUUUAGCCAAAGGGUAAGUUGAGCCACCCCCUGUUGCUUGGAAAUGGUAUAUGAAAUUGAUCAUGUGACCAAAUAUUUAGGAGAUGGGCAAUCAAUUUAUGGAGUCUGUGAAGGUUUGAAGCACAUGGGUGAAGGGGUUAGACUUUUAUUUACAAAAAAACAUUUUUCACUCUUGAAAGUGAAUUUAGUCUGUCGUAGGUUUGAUUAGAAUUGUGUUCAGACCAAAAAUGAUCAUUUUAAAUUUGUUUUAUACAUCAAUUGUGGUAUCUAUGAGCUACAACAUGAGGUCGAAAACCUAGCAUAAAAGUCCAUUAUUUUAGCUUAGAUGACUAAUAAAGUCAUAAUAGUAGUUCUGGGGUAAGUUGAGCCAGUGGCUCAACUGAGAAAGUAAAGGAGUCUGAUGAGAAGAUCAGAGUUUCAGUUCAGAUUGUUGAAAUGUUUUACUUUUUCUUUUCAAAAAUACAGCUGUGAAUGUUCUGAAUCACUUAAAGACAUUCUCAUGUGAAAAUGACUUUUUACAAAACAGCUUUUUAGCAGUUAUAUGCAAUAAUAAUAAAAAUAAUUAUUGUACCAGUUGAGUAGUGUAAAAUAGAUAAAAAUACACAUGAAUGUGAAGAAAUGACUGUUAUUUAGGGAGAGAGAAGGUGAGGGAGGGCUGGGGUGGGGGGGGGGGGUUCUAUAUUAUCAAUACAUUUAUGUUUACAUUCAUUCUGUUGGUUUGCAGGGAUGAACAACAUCUUGAAAUAUAUGCAGAUACACGAGUUACAGACAAAACUAUGAUUGCCUUGAUGUAGUGAUCCGAAAUAUGAAAAAUGGCUCAUCUUACCCCAUUCUCCCCUAUAAGGUGACUGCUUUGGUUUGGGGAGUUUAAUCACUGUUGUUUAGAUUUGUAUGGCCCCUUUGUGGAGUACAAUAAAGUUCUAGAAUAAAAUUCUGGUAGAAUCAGCCCUGGUUGUUUGGCUUUAACAGCUGUUGUUUCUUGUUUUGAGACAUAGCAGAGUUCACAGCUAAUUCUAGGUUCCUCUCAUGUCCUCACAGUGCGGUCUCUAAGCUUUAUUGUCUGUAUAAAUAAUGCUGUUUUUUGACCUGAUUUAUAAUUUUCUGUUGAUCUCGUUGAAACAUAAUCCCAUUGUUUGAUAUUUGACCUGUGGCACAAAUCGAUAGCUUCUACCUGUGGGCAUAGAGGAAGAAACAGCAGCCCUCACGAUAAAGUAAGAAGGUUUAAGAUUCAAUGUGGCAGCUUUGUGCUCAGGCUAUCUCAUCAAAGAUAAAGAACAGUCUGAGGGAAGUGUUUUAUAUUGCAUUACAAGCGGAUUUUUUCAGUGACAAGCAAACUAUUCUUUUAUCUGUGACUAACUGUUUAUACAAGCGUGGCCUUGACUUGCUCAUGAACACUACCGAGCAUCUAUUAUCUGCUUAAAACCGAUCAGACGCUAUUCUAUCUUAUGCUUAUAUUUAUCUCAUCAUCCGGGAUGCUCAAAAAAGCAAAAUCCACAACCCUUUAGGACACGAAAAAGGUGACUUUUCAGAGAUUAUCAUAACAACUUUAUCUGCAGGGAGAGAAGCAGCAACCUCCCAGCAAGAGGCUUCUUUUUGUCCUUCACCCCACUUACUUUUUAUUACCCAAUAAGCUCACUCUUAUGGCCUCUGCGUCUAUGGGUAGAAUCAUUAUUUCUUGACUUGGAGUAAAAACCUCCACUGUAGGAUGCAGUAUCUACCUACCAAAGUCAUUGAAUAGUGAUUGAAACUGGUGACCUUUCUGUUACAAUCUCACCCCCCAGCAAAUCAGGUCCCAACAGGGUGAUAUUGUAAUGUAGAUCUCAUUUAACCUCUGUGCUUUUUCUUAGUUAUAGGCUGUUCAACUGUGCUUCAAUCUGUAAAUCCACCGUUACAUUCUCUAAUAACUUCUCGCUUUUAGAGAGCAACAAACCCUUCCUUUAGCUUCACUUGUAACCACUGCAGUGAUUUGUUGCUUUGUACCAGCUUGACUUGCUCUGAGGAAAAAUUUCCGCUGAGUUUAGGGGUUGGUUGUUGUCUUCUCCACAGAAAAGAAAAUCUAAGUUUUAAACCUUUUGAGUCUUUAAGUGGUGAUAGAAUAACAGGGAAAGUUGGCAAAUCCUAAGACAGAUCUGUCUGCCUCUAAGUUUUCAACAAUUCCUUUUUUUUUCAAUGAAACCAGUUCAAACAUUCAAAAAUAUACUGAUAAAAGUAUAAGUCCUAUUCAAGUAAGGUUGACAAACAAAAUGAACUAAUUUCAUAGAAAAUGUAUGAAUUCUCCCACCAAAUAGACGCUUUAACAAAUCAGUCACACUUAAAUUUUGCAGCUAAUUAAAAACUGGUUUUAAUGACUGUUCCACAAAAAUUUCAACUAAAAUAAUAGUUUUGUUUCAGGGGCUCUCAGCGUGGGGGCUUGGGUCCCCCGGGCAAAAGUUAAUUCCUAUGUGUUAUGAAGGGCCUGUGCCCACUGACAGCAUUAUUUUCUAUGGUAGGGCCUAUGUCCUUUAUUUUAGAAUGUUUAACACUACAAGUGCUGAGGUGAAAUUUCACCAGAGGCACCUGGUUCAUUGGCAAGGUCAACGAGUUCUGAACACAGACUGUGUAUAGAAUGAACAGCGUCUGCCUCCUCACUGGGUGAAGCCACCCCGAGAACAGCACCCUCUGGUGACAGGCUGCAGUAUAGGUUAUAAGUCCUGCCUCUGCCAGCCAUCCUUAUGGAGCUGUGGAUGAAGUUUAGAAAUUGUUGACAAGUAGUUACUGUAAGACUGGUUUGUGCUCAAGUCCUCUUUUCUCUGUUCAGCUCUAUUUUUAAAAGUUAUUAGGGGGUUCAUGUUUUCUAUGAUUGACACCUGAUACGGUCUAUGGGUGUACGAAGAUUGCAUAGCUCACCUGUGGGAUACACUGUUUGAGCUGAUUGCGUAGCCCACCUGUGGGAUACACUGUUUGAGUCUCACAACGCUACUGAGCAAUGUUGGUUUCAGGAAGUGGAGAAAAAAACGCAAAAUUCCUGAGAGUCUAUGGUUCUGAAUCAUACUGGCUAUUUGCCCCAGUGAGAACCAUACUUCUUCUUUUCUUUCUUUUUUCUUUCUUUAUUUGAACAUGAUAAAAAUAAUGAUGAAGUAAAAAAACAAAACAAAAAACAAGGCUUUAUGAAAAGAAAAUAAUAAUAGUAAUAAUAAAUAAAAUAAAAAAAAUUAUAAAAUACUCAGCUCCAAGUGAUAAAAUAAUGUAGAAAAUUAUAAAAUGAUUGAAAAAAUAUGCCCCAAAAAUAUGAUUAUGUGUUUCCUCUUGUAUGAACUUAUGCAAUUGCUGUUGACAAAUUUGAUACCAGAAGUUCCACCCCUCCAUGAUUCUGAUUGGCCGGUGAUAGAGAGGAAAAUUUUUGGGGUGUGAUGGUGUUCCAAAAGCUGGAGUAUUUAAAAUGGGAGCGUCAUUACAGGCAUUGCUUAGGGUGCUUUAAUGCUUUGCACUCAAAUUACUGGUGCUGCAGAAAAAACUUCAAAAGUGCUCACAUGCCUUCAAAUGGGGGGGGAUUGGUUAAGACAUCAAACCAUUAAUAGAGUUAACCCAUGCCAAGCGUUUCAUGAAUGCCAAGUGCCAUUAAUGUUUAUCUAAAUCCCUUGUCCCUGUUCACCAUCGCUCUGGAUAGACGUCUGUUAGCUACCGCUGUAUCUUCUUCUUCUUGUGCUGUGUAUUCUCGCUUGUUUAUCUGUGUUGUUGCAACAGUUGCUAGAUUAUCAUAUGUUGUCCCCAGCAGCUUGCGUCUUCCUCCAGCCUUGUGUGUUGUUUUGAAGUUCUGAGAUGCUGAUAAGCUGCCAACCUGGCACCUCUGGCUACAUUUCAUUUGUUUUCCUCCUUUUCUUCCCCUCCCUUUUUCCCUCUCUUUCCUUCACCAGUGAUUCAUUUGUUUUUGCUGUAGAAAGAAAUGAGGGCAGGAGGAAGGCAUCUUCACAGGUGGCUGCUCUGGUAACAGGUGGUGGGGAUUAGAUUUUCACACCCUCUGUGUGUUUGUACGUGUGUGCAAAGUUAUUUCUCAGAGUGUGAUAAAAGAAUAUUGAAGAUCUAUGAUGUUGUCUCAGGUAGAGUUUGCUGCUGCCUUUAAAGCCCGCAAAGACAUUAGGUAUUCAAAGUGCAUUGCAAUUCCUGACGGUCACCUCUUCACCUGGUCAAUAUUUCCGUCUUUUCUUUUCUUAUCUCCUCUCUUUGCAUUUAGACUUGUGUUUCUUUUGAAAACAUACAACUGCAGUUUACUGUGUGUUCAUUUGCAAACUUAUCUGGAUUUAAAAUGAACCAAAUAGCUUUUUAAUCAAAAUGAGAGGAUGUUUUCUGCAAAUAGAUGCAUUGCUCAGUCCUGCUCUGAUAGCUGAAGCUGUGACCUCUCUCCCCUGCACAGGUUUUUUCUGAUGUUGCGUGUGUGUCUGGCAUUGAAACCUGCCUGAUCCUGCUGCUUAACUCAAGCAGAGACAGUUAAUAGGCUCUGUUGUAUCCUUGUAUCUGCGUGUGCCUGAAUGCUUGCAUGAAUCUUUUCAGCUCCAGCUUUCUGAAUCAUUGCCCAACAAAAGGACCUCUAGCACAGGCAGCUGUGACGUGCCUGUCCAAAACAAUUUGGGUCACACCCAGGAAAACAGAAAAAAAGGGUGCUCCAAGUCCCAUCUUGAGCGCCGAUGUGAUGUCUACAGAGAGUAUUAGGCGGAGCAGGAGAGGAAGAGUCAGAGCCACAAGAGUAAUCAAACGUCAAAGGAUGAAAAAGUCCAACCAGUGAUGUACUUCAUUUUAAAGCUGUAAGGCAAGCAAAGAGGGGAGAGGAAAGAAGCCUGAAGUCAGAACAAGUUUGAGAACUGAGAUGUUCUUACAAAGACAGAGAAAGGAUUUAAGAUGAAUAGUGGGAAAGAAAGUGGGUGGAUGACAGGUUAGAUGAUGAGACUUUUGGGGAAAAUGAGAAUAAACCACCGAAUGAGACCAGGCUGGAGAAAAAAAACAACCAGGGAAGUUGAAAAAUAUAACUUUAAGACCUAAAUUUGCCAGUGAAAUGGAUGUUCAGAGUCAGGCGGAGGAGAGAAAGAUUCCUUUACAGCUAAUGCAGAGUUUGGACAGUUGAUUUUUGCCACAUUUCAGAUUGGGUAAACAAAUACAUGUUUCAUUAUAUCUCUAAAGCUUAUAUGUUUUUUUCCCACCUAAAACAUGUUGUUUUGGAGAUGCAGAACUGUCACUGUUGACAGCCUCUGUAUGAGUUUGCGUUUCUUGAUGAGAUCAUCUAAAUUUAGCUUACCCUCAGGGGCAAUGUGCUUUGUACACGAUUUUAUUUUCAUUUCACUCAAAUGAGAUGAGUAUGCAGAAGAACAGGGAGGGCUGUUUAAUAAAAGCUGCUUAUAUAUCCAUUGUGGGCCUCUUAAAGUCAAUCAAAGGACAACAACUAUAUUUAAUUAAUGUAAUGUAUGCUGUAAUUUGCACUGCUUCAGCAAUAAAAUGCCCUUAAAUGACAAAACUGUGUAACAUACUGUGUUAAGUUGCAUUUCAACACAUCCGUUUUUUUUUCCAAAAAUGUUCAAAAAAAAAAUUUGUAAUAUAAUUCCAAGUAACAGAUUUUUCCUUCUUUUUCUGAGGGGACACAUGAACCACCACAACAGACAAAAUUUUGUAUACAUUCUUUAUAUACUGUCAUUUAUUGAUAACAGUGUAAAAACAAUGAAAGGUAAAAUUUCAUAAGUAUUGACACAAGUAAGAGCAACAUCAUUAAGUAUUGUCAAGGUCUUUUUGAAACAAACUCAGAAAAUUCAGAAAUGGUUUUAGGCUCAACUUACAGAAAAUUAAUUCUUAAUCAUCGUCAACAACUUGGGAGGUUUUUGUUGGAUAUUCUUAUAUGUAAUUCUUUGUUUUAUUUCAGAUUAAAAAUUUAAGCCAGGCCCUCCGUUAGUUAGGAAAAUAAGAGUCCCAAAAGGCUUAACCAUGCAGUGAUACUUGUCUGAUUGUAGAGACAUCGUCUGAUAUAUCUGUUAAUCCACAUUCACUCAGUCUCAACUUUUUUGACUCUGAAUUCAUCUCCCAUGAUUCCACAGUGUUCUGUGACAUUAUCAAACUCCUACUAGAAAGAAAAAACUCACCACGAGAUUUAAGCUGCAACACAUGAAGCUGGAUUUGAAAACGAAACAUGUAUGAUGUUCAGUUCAAAGAUGAAUGUGAAUGACAGAAUGAAGAUUAGAUUUUACAUUUAGAUAUGAAAUCUGCUUUCACUAUCCCUGCAAUCUGUUGAAACUCUGAGGGUAUAUUCAUGGAGUUUAAUUUCAGCUGAUGAACUGAGGAGAUUUUAUGAACCUGACUGAAGAUUUACAGGCUUAGUGAUGAAGUUCAACCAGACUGACUAUCUUUACUCGCUGCAUUCAUUCAGAUCUAUUUUGUCUACUACCUCAGUCAUCUCAGGGGAAGUUCACUCUUCAGCUGGCUGUUUAAAAACUGAUUUACCAAAACUAGCUAUUUAACUUCCUCCGUGUUUGAAAUCCUCUCAUUAAAUCCAUCCAGAUUUUCAACUGGGCUCACCGUCCUCACUGUUCUACUGCCCGCAGCGUCUGGACUCCAUUAGCGGGAUAUUCCCUCCAAGCCCCUCUUUCUAUUACUCUCACCUGGUUGGAGUCUAACUGUGAAGUGUGGAAACUCAACUGCACAGACUGAUCUGCAAAACUUCCCUUACAACAAGCUUCUCUGGGUAAACAGCAGAGGAAACUGGAUUUCAUGGCUCAGCUGUGUGCGGCAGGGCUCAGGUGUGAAUAAACAAAACCAAACAUUUCCUGCAUCCUGAGCGAGAGAUUUCUCUCCCCCCUCCUGAUGGUUCAACAGGAACAGAUCCUGUCAUAGACCUCCUGUUGGAAGCUACGCAAAGUCUCUGAAUGAACCUACAUUUCUUUGAGUAGGAUUUCCAUUUUGAGUUUUAGUUUGUAUUUAACAUUCAAGACAAGACAAGAGAGCGUUAGAUUUUUACAGAAGAAUCAGUUUCCUCCUAAGUAACUUACACACCGAGGGUUACGUGUUUGAUAGUCUGGAUGCCAAUCAUUUCACACACAAUCUAAUCAAUUCGUCUUGCUUAAAGGAUUGGUAUGUCAGGGUGAGCUUUGACUUGCAGAAACAGCCAGUUGAAUGGUAAACGCCUUCUCCGAGAAUAUUAAUACAUCUUCGAUCAGGCAUGCCAAGAAUGCAUCAGUUGGAUUUUCUGACUCUGUAUGAGGCAGAAAGCGCUCUUCAUGGAUUAUUUUGACCUGCACAAAAAAAAUGAAGAAGAGACAUGUGGUGAUAGAGUGAUAGACUAAGAGAAAGAGGGAAAAAGCCUCUUAAUUGGCAGUCUGACCCGCUCAGUGUCAGAUGUCUGAAAGGUUGCAGAGUGAUCAGUUGAGCUGAAAAAGAGACAGAUUGAGACUGACAGAAUUUGCAAAUAUGACUCACAAUUAAGGGAGUUGGUGGAGAUGUGAAAAGCAUUAUUUUGGUGGUAUCGAACCAGCUCUCUGUCACCUGUGGAAGAAUUUGUAUGCACAUCUUUCUACACAGCAUGUAACUGGAUUAUAUGAUUCCUCGCAAAGCAGAAGGGCUUGUAACAUUUAGUGCACUUCUACUUGUCAUCAAAGUUCAGAGAUAAUAAAAAGUAAAGGAUCAGUGGUUUUUAUAGUGUCGGGGGGUAAUUAGCUCUCAGGGCUGCAUCUAUCCUCUGAGAAAACCUCGAUAAGGGUAAUCUAUUUCCCUCCACUCUGCAGCAGCAGUGAGCCCACCGCUGUGGUCACUAACAGAAUUUCCCCUCUGCACCUGUAGGGAGAAGAGACCCCGUGUCGAAUCCAGGCAGGUAUGGCUGAUCGUGUCUCUACAGCUUUAUUUCGGAUCAUUCCCCGAACCAAAAAAUGAAGCAUUUUUGUGCAUUUGUCAAUCCACUCUGCCUUCGCACAAAAUAAAUAAAUAACAAAUGGAAACACUGACCUGUGUAGCCUGUGACUCACGGCUGGAGCAGUUCAAUGACCGGUGUUUAUCCUUCCCCAACAGCAAAAAAAUCCAGAUAGAGUUGUGAUUCAGAGAGAGACAAAACUGUGCCCACGUUUAUUUUAUUUUGUUAUUUUGCUCUGCUGGUCCUGCAGGCAUGAAAAAUAAAGAAUGAAUUAAAUGUUGUUUCUUUUUAGACAAGGUUGGCUAUUACUUUACAAGGACAACAAUGAAAGUGUCCUCCAGCUUUAAGCAGUAAAUAGUUUGUUAUAUUGGUGGAAAAAUGCACAUUUGGCGUGUUUUUAUCCUUCUUAUUUGUGCCGUUUAUGUUUGAGGACAUUUUUGGCUUCAAGGAGCGAUAACCUACUUCUUGAGUUACAGACAAAGUUUUGUGGCUUAGACUUCUUUUUUAAAGUUCACUUGUCAUUGUUUCAAAUCUAACUAACAGCCUGAUAAGCCAGAGUGGAGUAGGAGUUCAGAGAGGAGCAGACUCUAAACUCUGUGUGCAUGUGUUGUUUUAUAGUUUAGAGACUGUAUGUAGGAUGGACAACAUAAAUAUCAGUCUAGUUUGAAGCAGAAAACUGGCUGCAAUAUAUGUCGCAAAACUGCCUCCCUAACGUUAACAGAUAGGAGGAAGACCAAACUAUAGAAUAAAAAUCAAAUCAAAUCCUUUCUUCUCAAUUCAAAGUUUUAUAUUAUUCUAAGUAUGCUGUUUUAUGUCCAAAGGCUCAUUUUUCUUCGAUGUUUAAUUUAAAUGAGUUGUCUGGUUGAUAAAGACAGAAUCUUAUUUGAACAUUACUCGUCUUUUAAUCUCUUUCAUAAUUCAGACUCUGUUCACUCCAUUAAGAUAACACUUACUAGGUUCAUUAUACAAAACUUAUGGGGUCUCAAUUUGCUUGGUUAGCUGUCAAGUAUAACUGACAGCCUUUUCAGCACCACUACAGCAAUAUAAAGGAGCAAAUAGGAAGUUUUAAAAUGAAUCAAAACUACAUUUAACUCCUAUUUUCUUCUUUUUAUCCAGUUUUUGUCAUGUUACUUUCUUUGCGGCACACACUGGUAAGAGAAUCACUUCAUAGAAAAAGCAUAAAUGUUCAAAUAAAUGUAUUUAAUGGAAGAAAUUAAAACUUCACGAGUUAAGAUGAUGAACGUCCUGAUGAACUUAAGUGCCACAUAAAGGUGUUAAUUUGUGCAGAGGGUAAUAAGGGGAGCUUUUCUGCUGCAGAUACUCGCUCUGACACCAUGUCAACUAACUCACCCUGGGGUGAUGUUGUUUUCAGGUCCAAGUCCCCAUAGAGAAUCCCCACCUGAGCAUUGCUCUCCUUUAACUGCCCUCAUCCAGAAACCUUUGUCACCUUGCUUGUUGGCUCUUCACUGCUGCACAAGGGGGAGGCCCAGCAGGUUUUUUUUUUUUUUUUUUUUUUUUUUGGUGUGUGUGUGUGUGUGUAAUGCUGCAUUGCAGUGCAUCUCCCCUUCUGUUGUGUGCUCUCAAGCAGUGGGCUGCUGUAAGAAGAUAACCUCUCAGUGUCAUUGCUGCCGUAUAAGACUAAACCAAUUUCUUCUAGUCUAUGUCCCAUGCUUGUCUUGGAGUGCCUUGUGAGUCUUUCGAACCCUGAACACAACAUGAGCAGCUGAGUCUAGUUUUGUAAGAGUGUUUCUCUGCCUUCUUGAUUUAUGCCACUUAUCAGCUCUUUUAAUCACCUUUUACCUAUUCACUGCUAGCUUUCCUGUCCUCUGCCUCACUCUGUGAAUCUUGCAGGUCUUGUUAGAGGAUUAGAUAAUGUUAUACUCUUAGACAGACUUAUUUCUCUCUUCUGGUUGAUGUAAUUCUGUCUCCCUUUGAUGUUUACUUUGUGUGUCAGUGUCAGAGACUCUCUUCAGUAACUUUCACCAGACAUUUGAGCUGAAUUACUUGAUGUAUGACUAUCAGGGAGACCUUAAUCUGUUUUUGUAUUCUGUGUUCCUAACAUCAGAGGUUUAAUGGUUUUAUCUGCUUCAUUUCCAAAGAUCUAGAAGAUUUUAGAUUUCUUUUUUUGCAUAUAAAUAUAAAAGAUGUUGUUUGUUACUGUGGAUGCCUGGCUGUUUUGCACUUAGAGGUGAAGAUAUUUUGAUUUUAGUUGUGGAUGAGAUAACAAAAAUAAACAGUUGACCUCUGAAGCAUCAAUAGUCUGUCAAUGGGCAGUUUUCAGCACCAUGGACAGCUCCCCUCUAUACCUGACUUUUAAAGUUAAAUAACUCAAGGAGUUAGUCUCUUGAGUUAUUUUUUAUUUAGACAGUAAUGAGCACUAUGGUCUCCAGAGUAAAGCACAAAACAAUAACCAAACUUACCAACUUUAUAACCUUUCUGGUUUUCAGUUAGCUCCCCCUUUUUUUCAGGACUGGAUUCAGCACCAAUCAGAAUUCUUUCCCUGUUUCUGACGUGCCAACUGUCUAUUUAUAAUUUUUACCAAAUAUCCCAUAAUCUCUUGCCUAACAGCAGUUCCUGAGUAAACCUUGAAAUGGAGAGACUGUGACUCAACGUCUGAUCCUGUUGUUACUUAACCAAGAUCCCCUCCCUUUGUUUCACCUGAGAGCCCUGAUGCACAAUGCUGAUUUGUGUAGUUUUAUAGCUCCAACAGACACAUACAAUCAGCAAACACAUAAAACCAUUAGCAUUUCAACACAAUGUAACAAGCAUGCAGGUUAAAAAUCUCAUUACUGAAAUUCACAGAGGUUCCUGCUGCCUGGGUAAUGUAGUAAGCAUGCUCAAAAGGAAGAUAAUCCUGCAGUUUAAGGCCAAAAUACCCUAAAGUUAUCUAGAGCUGAAAUGUUACUUUUGUCAGCUUCUAACAAUAUAUCUAUUUUAUUUUAGAUAAUUGGAUUUUUAACUAUGUGUGGCUGAGUUGUGUCUCUCUUAGGAAAGACAAUCUGAUCCAAACCUUGAUGGAUUCAGAGGUUUUGUUAAAAUUCAGAACAUUAUGAUACAGGUCAGUAUGAAUUGAUUUCACCUGACUGAAUGAAGUCGUUUUUAGGGCUACUUAUGAUGUCAUGACUGAAAAAUGAUAGAUGAUAUGUCUUCCCAAAUAACAUGUCCUUGAGAGUAUUACUUCUUAAAGAGACAACGAUCAGAAUCUCUGUGCUAAAGUGAUCAUAAAUAGGCUGAAGUCUUUAUUAUGCAUCCAAAAACACAGACAUGUCAUUGGGUUUUUCCUUGCAUCUACUCUCAUGGGCUUUGCAAAGGCCCGCUAGCACUUAAAAUGAAGUAAUUAUUUCCCCCAGUGACAACAUAACUAAAGCUAAUUAAACUAAAAAGUGGAUAAAAUUUUCACUGGAGCACAUUGUGUCACAUCUAACAUAAGAGCAAUGCUGUUGUGUUAAAAUCACUAUCAUGAAAACAACUCAAGACGUCAUCAUUUUUCUCUUCUUUUAAUUCCUCUAUCACAUAUGGCUAACAUAUGGCAGGCAUUCGCAGUUAUUGCCACUUGCUUGUCAUUUCAAGCUUCAUGUUGAACUUCAUUUUUUGUUUUAAAAACGUCUCUGUCACACUCUGAAAUGCUGUCUUUCUUUGUAUCUUGUAACCCGGAUUUAACGAGACAGAAAACCAUCACUCCAAAUGAAGCAGCAGGGUUGUUAACCUUAGCAACAAAAUAGGCCGUAGGUGUCUUGAUAAACAUUGUCAUUGCUGGUUUUGCCAGGCCAAGUGUUUAAAUUAGGGGGGCUACUUGUGCUGCUGUUUGAUAGUGCUAGCAUUGUUGAAUAAGGUUUUAUCAUAGGGCCUUAUCAAAUGUUUGUCUUUAGCUGAUGCACAUAACCACUUGUGUACAGACUGAACUCACCUUCCUUUCACUGUCAACAACACUGGAUUUCUAAAGAGGAGACUGAGGGUCACUUCACAGAUCUUAGACAUUGUUGUAUCUCACUCUGCUUUUCACUGAAGUUUAGAAGUCUUGAGUAUUGCAAGAUUGAAGAUGCAGCCGGCACAUUAUCAACACAAAACACAGCAAAAUCUCAGUUAACCAGAUCACAUCUUUGAAACUGAGCCACCAAAACACAUGUCUUUCUUUACUGAUCCAGGCUUGGCCAGUUCACUGGGACCUACAGUGUUGGCAUUGGUCACCAAUUCAGGAUAGUGAAUCUUUAAACCUCUAAUACAUCAGAUUUUUGUGCUUGUUGGAGCCUAUUGAUUCUUUGUAUAGUUAUUUGAAUUAUUUGGAAAUGCUAAGGGUAAUGAUUAUUGUGAAUGAAUUAUUAUUCAUUUAUUUGCUGUUCAUGUCCCUCCUCCUGGCUAGGCCUACCUCCUCUUGCGAUCAGGGAGUGAGGACAGCUGGUUUCUUUUGUUUUUUGCUUGGUGCUGAAGGAGUGAGGCAAGUGAGGAGUGAAACAGUUUAUUUACCGCUAAAUUAUGUUUUUUAUUGUGGUUGUUGUUUGAAGUCAACCCGGAGAAUAUUUUUGUUCGCUUAAAUAAAUUCAACAUCCCUUUUGUCAAACUGAUACACGUCUGCGAGUGCUUAUUAUUUAGCGAGUCGGAGACCUCCUCCUCACAAACUACUCUGAUGUUUCUGACCUCUUUGUUAAACUCAAGAGUAGCCGUAACAGUGCUGCUCUCCAUGAUUUCCAGUAGAGGAGAACUCUUAACUCGCAGAAAAACUACAAAUAUUGCCAUGUGCGGUUUUGAUCAUUUUAUCGAUUGUAGAUAGAUAGAUAGAUGUACUUUAUUGAUCCGAAACUGGGAAAUUGUUUGUGUGUACGUUGAUUUAUUUUCUCACUUUUAAAGUUAAAACUCCUUUAGUAUAACUCCUAUUUUACUAUAACAAAGAAAACUGUGAUCAUAUCAAACUUGUUUCAAACUGCACAAAGAAAACUUUUCACACAGGUAUUAACAGGAACAGCGAAGAAAUGCAAGUUCCCUUUUCUUUAAAAAGACAACAUUGCCCAGAGACAGAGGGAGAAAUCAAAGCUAAUUGAGGGUUGAGUCUAAAACAAGGAUGCUAAAUCAGUCCUGUUUUAAGAUUUAAUUAAGCAAAUAGUGCCCUCUGUGCACUGUCACCAAAAGCCUCAAUAAGAGGGUAAUUGGGGUACAUACCUAGCGUACCAAAACAAUUGGGUAAAUGUGUUAUUUAUAUCCUUUAUCCUAUUUGCUGGUGAGUUUCAUGCUUAGUCAGUUUCUCUUUUCAUCCUAUGUGGAACAUCGUAGUCAUGAUUGGAUUUACAAAUGUCCCCCCAGAGCACAGAGCAGAAAUAAAACUUGUUGUGUGAUGGAAAUGCUCCGUUUUCGCAGCACUCUACACCUUGCACAGUGGGACAGCGCAGGCAGAUAUCAUCAUGGAGGAUGAUAUGCUUCAUGAUCCUGGUCCGUCUUCAGGCAGAUUUUCUCCCGAGCCGGUGGAGUGGAACUGAAGUUCUCAAGCACAAGUUAAGUAACAGACACACAGCUCAUUAAGAAAGGCUCUAUCACACCCCACUGCUCAAACAUCUCUGGCACAGUUCUCUGCCGUACUAACACACACUCACACACAACCAAAAUUGUAAUCUUGUUUCAUCACUCUUGUUUCCCUCUCUCUCUCUCCUUCUCUCCUUCUCUACCUCCCUCUCGUUUUUUGCUUUUACCAUCUGCAACUGCAAUGUGGGGGCAUGUGUGACGUUUAGUUUACUGCUGGGACGCUGCUUCCCUCAUGUGAUGUUUCAUAUAUUUUGAUCUUCAUUAUUCAAAAUUGGAUCCCCUACAGCUGCUCUUAUCCUUCAUCUUCCCCCCCAAGUGAAUGCUGGGAUUUAGAGACAAACUGGGAGAGGAAAUCAGGAGAAAGCGAGACCGAAUUAGAUCCUUUGAACUCAGAGUGUGGUGAGCCUCUGGUUGAGCUGAUAAAGCAACAUAAUAACAAUGAAAAAAGGUAAAAAUUUUGCACAUUUAUCAUCAGUACUGCCUGUUUAAUAGAAAAGUAUAAAAACAUUUUGGGAGCUCAUCAAAAACAGAGGCUUGUUAGUGGGCUGAACAACAUUAUUUAGGAUGUAUACAAACGCAAACUUUGGAAAACUAAAAUUAUACAAACUCUGAAGUCACAAACGAUUUCUAAAACUACAACUCCUGUUGAAGGUGGAGUGGGCAGGAUCCCAUUAAAGAAGCAUCUUUUUUUGUGGAGUAUAUACAAAAAGCUUUUAAUAUCAGUCUAUAGUUAUUAGUUAUUGAUGACAUUUGGUAAUGUAAUGGUAUCGUUGUGUUUUGUUAUGUCAGUGUAGUCAACAUUUUUAAUUUUUUGAGCGGCCCGCUUUUUCUGACUAUAAACAAAGCGAUUCUCCGCCUCCCCUGACCUGAUUGGUUGUGAGGCAGACGCUUGACCCUCCGUGUCGUUCACGAGCCUAAACAAAGUUAGCGUGCUACUGUAUCGGACAGUAGAAACCAACCAGAAAGUACAUAAAAUUGUCUGAAUCCUCCUUUGGCCAGGACUGCCAACACAAGCAAGAAAAUGAAGUAAAUACUGGAGACUCUGGCGGAAUCAUCAUUGAAGCAUAAAUGCUUCGGGAUCUUACGGACUCUGUAACCUUUCUGCUGGACAGGUAAACCGCUUUAACAAAGUAAGCAAAGUGUUUGUAACAGAAGUGUUUCUUGUCAAACGGGACCUGCUGCGUGUUGUAGCACCGCUAAACUGUUUACCUCAGGUCCUUGAGUAUGUCAUCUUAUCCUAGUUGUAGAAGUCCUACAAACAUUGUGUUUGCUGGCAGUCUGUUGGCAUCUACAGUAACACCAAUGCUUUUUACUUUCACAUUGACUGGGCCCCAUUUGUAAUUAUGUGAAGUAUUUAUCUGCAUUAUACCUGAAUUCAGUUGGAACGAUACGAGCGAGCA
This is a non-coding RNA of Xyrichtys novacula (pearly razorfish), 15475 nucleotides long. NCBI's taxonomy places the organism in Eukaryota, Metazoa, Chordata, Actinopteri, Labriformes, Labridae. The record is from the annotation of a GenBank genome assembly.